RNAcentral lists this ribosomal RNA (460 nucleotides) under uncultured bacterium. RNAcentral describes it as "partial 16S ribosomal RNA". It matches the Rfam family "Bacterial small subunit ribosomal RNA", at positions 338 to 795 of the family's 1533-position model. The record is from RNAcentral.
CCUACGGGGGGCAGCAGUGAGGAAUAUUGGUCAAUGGACGCGAGUCUGAACCAGCCAAGCAGCGUGAAGGAUGACUGCUCUAUGGGUUGUAAACUUCUUUUAUAUGGGAAUAAAACGUUCCACGCGUGGGCUUUUGUAUGUACCUUACGAAUAAGGAUCGGCUAACUCCGUGCCAGCAGCCGCGGUAAUACGGAGGAUCCGAGCGUUAUCCGGAUUUAUUGGGUUUAAGGGGAGCGUAGGUGGAUUGUUAAGUCAGUUGUGAAAGUUUGGGGCUCAACCGUGGAAUUGCAGUUGAAACUGGCAGUCUUGAGUACAGUAGAGGUGGGCGGAAUUCGUGGUGUAGCGGUGAAAUGCUUAGAGAUCACGAAGAACACCGAUUGCGAAGGCAGAUCACUGGACUGCAACUGACACUGAGGCUCGAAAGUGUGGGUAUCAAACAGGAGUAGAUACCCCAGUAGUC